RNAcentral lists this ribosomal RNA (1372 nucleotides) under uncultured bacterium. RNAcentral describes it as "bacterial SSU rRNA". It matches the Rfam family "Bacterial small subunit ribosomal RNA", at positions 28 to 1381 of the family's 1533-position model. The record is from RNAcentral.
GAUGAACGCUGGCGGCGUGCCUAAUACAUGCAAGUCGAGCGAACGGACGAGAAGCUUGCUUUUCUGAUGUUAGCGGCGGACGGGUGAGUAACACGUGGAUAACCUACCUAUAAGACUGGGAUAACUUCGGGAAACCGGAGCUAAUACCGGAUAAUAUUUUGAACCGCAUGGUUCAAAAGUGAAAGACGGUCUUGCUGUCACUUAUAGAUGGAUCCGCGCUGCAUUAGCUAGUUGGUAAGGUAACGGCUUACCAAGGCAACGAUGCAUAGCCGACCUGAGAGGGUGAUCGGCCACACUGGAACUGAGACACGGUCCAGACUCCUACGGGAGGCAGCAGUAGGGAAUCUUCCGCAAUGGGCGAAAGCCUGACGGAGCAACGCCGCGUGAGUGAUGAAGGUCUUCGGAUCGUAAAACUCUGUUAUUAGGGAAGAACAUAUGUGUAAGUAACUGUGCACAUCUUGACGGUACCUAAUCAGAAAGCCACGGCUAACUACGUGCCAGCAGCCGCGGUAAUACGUAGGUGGCAAGCGUUAUCCGGAAUUAUUGGGCGUAAAGCGCGCGUAGGCGGUUUUUUAAGUCUGAUGUGAAAGCCCACGGCUCAACCGUGGAGGGUCAUUGGAAACUGGAAAACUUGAGUGCAGAAGAGGAAAGUGGAAUUCCAUGUGUAGCGGUGAAAUGCGCAGAGAUAUGGAGGAACACCAGUGGCGAAGGCGACUUUCUGGUCUGUAACUGACGCUGAUGUGCGAAAGCGUGGGGAUCAAACAGGAUUAGAUACCCUGGUAGUCCACGCCGUAAACGAUGAGUGCUAAGUGUUAGGGGGUUUCCGCCCCUUAGUGCUGCAGCUAACGCAUUAAGCACUCCGCCUGGGGAGUACGACCGCAAGGUUGGAACUCAAAGGAAUUGACGGGGACCCGCACAAGCGGUGGAGCAUGUGGUUUAAUUCGAAGCAACGCGAAGAACCUUACCAAAUCUUGACAUCCUUUGACAACUCUAGAGAUAGAGCCUUCCCCUUCGGGGGACAAAGUGACAGGUGGUGCAUGGUUGCCGUCAGCUCGUGUCGUGAGAUGUUGGGUUAAGUCCCGCAACGAGCGCAACCCUUAAGCUUAGUUGCCAUCAUUAAGUUGGGCACUCUAAGUUGACUGCCGGUGACAAACCGGAGGAAGGUGGGGAUGACGUCAAAUCAUCAUGCCCCUUAUGAUUUGGGCUACACACGUGCUACAAUGGACAAUACAAAGGGCAGCGAAACCGCGAGGUCAAGCAAAUCCCAUAAAGUUGUUCUCAGUUCGGAUUGUAGUCUGCAACUCGACUACAUGAAGCUGGAAUCGCUAGUAAUCGUAGAUCAGCAUGCUACGGUGAAUACGUUCCCGGGUCU